Molecule: non-coding RNA, 61 nt
Filed under: Cytobacillus firmus
Lineage: Bacteria; Bacillati; Bacillota; Bacilli; Caryophanales; Bacillaceae
Also listed under: 1 other name
Source: RNAcentral
AAAAAAGUUAGUCGCAAGAAGUCAGCAGAUGCCAUAGUAGUGAAAUUAAUUCAUGGAGGGC